UAGGGAAUCUUCGGCAAUGGACGAAAGUCUGACCGAGCAACGCCGCGUGAGUGAAGAAGGUUUUCGGAUCGUAAAACUCUGUUGUAAGAGAAGAACAAGGACGUUAGUAACUGAACGUCCCCUGACGGUAUCUAACCAGAAAGCCACGGCUAACUACGUGCCAGCAGCCGCGGUAAUACGUAGGUGGCAAGCGUUGUCCGGAUUUAUUGGGCGUAAAGCGAGCGCAGGCGGUUUCUUAAGUCUGAUGUGAAAGCCCCCGGCUCAACCGGGGAGGGUCAUUGGAAACUGGGAGACUUGAGUGCAGAAGAGGAGAGUGGAAUUCCAUGUGUAGCGGUGAAAUGCGUAGAUAUAUGGAGGAACACCAGUGGCGAAGGCGGCUCUCUGGUCUGUAACUGACGCUGAGGCUCGAAAGCGUGGGGAGCAAACAGG
This 429-nucleotide ribosomal RNA is filed under the name Chloroflexota bacterium. RNAcentral describes it as "Chloroflexi bacterium partial 16S ribosomal RNA". It matches the Rfam family "Bacterial small subunit ribosomal RNA", at positions 355 to 776 of the family's 1533-position model. The record is from RNAcentral. Lineage: Bacteria; Bacillati; Chloroflexota.